GAUGAACGCUGGCGGCGUGCCUAAUACAUGCAAGUCGAGCGAACGGACGAGAAGCUUGCUUCUCUGAUGUUAGCGGCGGACGGGUGAGUAACACGUGGAUAACCUACCUAUAAGACUGGGAUAACUUCGGGAAACCGGAGCUAAUACCGGAUGAUAUUUUGAACCGCAUGGUUCAAAAGUGAAAGACGGUCUUGCUGUCACUUAUAGAUGGAUCCGCGCUGCAUUAGCUAGUUGGUAAGGUAACGGCUUACCAAGGCAACGAUGCAUAGCCGACCUGAGAGGGUGAUCGGCCACACUGGAACUGAGACACGGUCCAGACUCCUACGGGAGGCAGCAGUAGGGAAUCUUCCGCAAUGGGCGAAAGCCUGACGGAGCAACGCCGCGUGAGUGAUGAAGGUCUUCGGAUCGUAAAACUCUGUUAUUAGGGAAGAACAAAUGUGUAAGUAACUAUGCACAUCUUGACGGUACCUAAUCAGAAAGCCACGGCUAACUACGUG
RNAcentral lists this ribosomal RNA (497 nucleotides) under uncultured bacterium. Its description in RNAcentral is "partial 16S ribosomal RNA". It matches the Rfam family "Bacterial small subunit ribosomal RNA", at positions 28 to 507 of the family's 1533-position model. The record is from RNAcentral.